RNAcentral lists this ribosomal RNA (253 nucleotides) under uncultured bacterium. RNAcentral's name for it is "partial 16S ribosomal RNA". It matches the Rfam family "Bacterial small subunit ribosomal RNA", at positions 524 to 776 of the family's 1533-position model. The record is from RNAcentral.
UACGUAGGGUGCAAGCGUUGUCCGGAAUUAUUGGGCGUAAAGAGCUCGUAGGCGGUUUGUCGCGUCUGCUGUGAAAACUCGGGGCUUAACUCCGGGCCUGCAGUGGGUACGGGCAGACUAGAGUGCGGUAGGGGAGACUGGAAUUCCUGGUGUAGCGGUGGAAUGCGCAGAUAUCAGGAGGAACACCGGUGGCGAAGGCGGGUCUCUGGGCCGUAACUGACGCUGAGGAGCGAAAGCAUGGGGAGCGAACAGG